This 523-nucleotide ribosomal RNA is filed under the name uncultured bacterium. RNAcentral describes it as "partial 16S ribosomal RNA". The record is from RNAcentral.
ACACUGUUCAUGGGUUACCGCGGCUGCUGGCACGGAGUUAGCCGGUGCUUCUUCUGUGAGUGAUGUCCUUCCUGCCGGUUAUUGACCCGCAGGCCUUCUUCCUCACUGAAAGUGCUUUACAACCCGAAGGCCUUCUUCACACACGCGGCAUGGCUGGAUCAGGGUUGCCCCCGAUUGUCCAAUAUUCCCCACUGCUGCCUCCCGUAGGAGUCUGGGCCGUGUCUCAGUCCCAGUGUGGCUGAUCAUCCUCUCAGACCAGCUACGGAUCGUCGCCUUGGUGAGCCGUUACCUCACCAACCAGCUAAUCCGACAUAGGCUCAUCCGAUAGCGCGAGGCCCGAAGGUCCCCCGGNUUUCCCCCGGUAGGGCGUAUGCGGUAUUAGCCUGGGUUUCCCCAGGUUAUCCCCCGACUACCGGGCAGAUUCCUAUGCAUUACUCACCCGUCCGCCGCUCGCCACCNGGGAGCAAGCUCCCCGGUGCUGCCGCUCGACUUGCAUGUGUUAGGCCUGCCGCCAGCGUUCAAU